AACGAACGCUGGCGGCAGGCCUAACACAUGCAAGUCGAACGCCCCGCAAGGGGAGUGGCAGACGGGUGAGUAACGCGUGGGAAUCUACCGUACCCUACGGAACAACAGUUGGAAACGACUGCUAAUACCGUAUACGCCCUACGGGGGAAAGAUUUAUCGGGGUAUGAUGAGCCCGCGUUGGAUUAGCUAGUUGGUGGGGUAAGGGCCUACCAAGGCGACGAUCCAUAGCUGGGCUGAGAGGAUGAUCAGCCACAUUGGGACUGAGACACGGCCCAAACUCCUACGGGAGGCAGCAGUGGGGAAUAUUGGACAAUGGGCGCAAGCCUGAUCCAGCCAUGCCGCGUGAGUUAUGAAGGUCUUAGGAUUGUAAAGCUCUUUCCCCGAUGAAGAUAAUGACGGUAGUCGGAGAAGAAGCCCCGGCUAACUUCGUGCCAGCCGCCGCCGUAA
Molecule: ribosomal RNA, 447 nt
Filed under: uncultured bacterium
Lineage: Bacteria
Description: partial 16S ribosomal RNA
Rfam family: Bacterial small subunit ribosomal RNA
Source: RNAcentral